Molecule: ribosomal RNA, 497 nt
Filed under: uncultured bacterium
Lineage: Bacteria
Description: partial 16S ribosomal RNA
Rfam family: Bacterial small subunit ribosomal RNA
Source: RNAcentral
GAUGAACGCUGGCGGCGUGCCUAAUACAUGCAAGUCGAGCGAACAGACGAGGAGCUUGCUCCUCUGACGUUAGCGGCGGACGGGUGAGUAACACGUGGAUAACCUGCCUAUAAGACUGGGAUAACUUCGGGAAACCGGAGCUAAUACCGGAUAAUAUAUUGAACCGCAUGGUUCAAUAGUGAAAGACGGUUUUGCUGUCACUUAUAGAUGGAUCCGCGCCGCAUUAGCUAGUUGGUAAGGUAACGGCUUACCAAGGCAACGAUGCGUAGCCGACCUGAGGGGGUGAUCGGCCACACUGGAACUGAGACACGGUCCAGACUCCUACGGGAGGCAGCAGUAGGGAAUCUUCCGCAAUGGGCGAAAGCUUGACGGAGCAACGCCGCGUGAGUGAUGAAGGUCUUCGGAUCGUAAAACUCUGUUAUUAGGGAAGAACAAAUGUGUAAGUAACUAUGCACGUCUUGACGGUACCUAAUCAGAAAGCCACGGCUAACUACGUG